Molecule: ribosomal RNA, 275 nt
Filed under: uncultured prokaryote
Description: partial 16S ribosomal RNA
Rfam family: Bacterial small subunit ribosomal RNA
Source: RNAcentral
UACGGAGGAUCCGAGCGUUAUCCGGAUUUAUUGGGUUUAAAGGGUGCGUAGGCGGGAGAUUAAGUCGGUGGUGAAAUUUUGCAGCUCAACUGUAAAAGUGCCUUCGAAACUGGUUUCCUUGAGUGUAGAUGAAGUAGGCGGAAUUUGUGGUGUAGCGGUGAAAUGCAUAGAUAUCACGAGGAACUCCGAUUGCGCAGGCAGCUUACUAAACUACUACUGACGCUCAGGCACGAAGGCGUGGGGAUCAAACAGGAUUAGAUACCCUCGUAGUCCCU